UCCCCAAGUGGACUAGAAACUAAUUUGGUUCAGUUUGGAAAAGAACCUCUCCUCCAAAAAAGGAACAAAAAUAAAAAAUAAAGACAUUUUGUGAAAAGCCCGUUCAUCUCAAAACCUCCCUCAUCUCCUGCUUUGCAUCUAUGUGUUCUCUCGCUCAGGGUUACAAAGUGUUCCAAAUGGUUGCAGUGAUUUUAAGCCUAUCCCCUGAGAUCAUAUCUCUUCCAAGCUCCAAGGAAAAGAAAGAGAAGAUCAGAAGUGUCUACCUCUCCCAGUAUUCCGUGAACUUAUUGAGGAGGAAGAUAUGCACUGUUCAUCUGUGCAUCCCAACUACUUUACACACUGUUUGAGACAGCCUGGGUUAUCCAAGCUCUACCAAUUCUCUGAGAGGUAGAGCUGCUCCUGCAAUAAUGUGAAGGUGAAGUAUCCCCCAUAUUGCCCAAGGCUGGCCCCUGAAGUACUUGGAGAGGAAGAACUAUGUGGAUGGUAGUAUCAUGCAGUGACCAACAACUUGGGCUUUGGAACCAGAACCAGAGUUGGAUCUCAGCACAGUCACAACUUUGUGACAGGGGACAAGUUCUUUUACCUCUUUAUCUCUAGUUUUUCACUCUUAAAAUGCAGAUAAUAAUAAUCCCUAUGUGCCAAGAAUGUUUGGUAGAUUGAUUAUAAUAAUGUGGGAAAAAUACUCAGCCAAUGUCUGAAACAUUAAGUGCUCAAUAAGCAUUAGUUAGUAUUGCUUCACAAUGUAGCACGAGAUUAGGCUUUAGAGUGUUGGCCUCCAAAAUUAGAUUUAUUUCUGUAUUUUCAUCAUCAGCUCUUUUAUGCCAAAAAAAGAAAAUAUUCUCCUCUUCCUAAAACAUCACCAUGUAUCUAUCCAUUCAUUCAUUUCGAUGUGCCAGGCAUUCCUCAAGGGUCUAAGAAUGAACAACAGCAUAUGGUUUAAUGCCCUUCAAUGACUUCAGAAUGACAGAGGUAGGAAGCCACAUAUACAAGUAUAAAGUAUACUCUAUACUUAUACAAGUAUAAAGCAUGUGACAGUAUAAAAAUUGCUGCAGUCAGGUACCCCAUAUGAAAAUUUCUUAAUCAUCUUUCAACACAAAUAAGUAUGGAUAUCACCUACCAUCUGAGGUCUUCUUUGAAAUGCCCAUUGAAAAAACAAAACAUUUUUCCAUCCUCAAUUGUCACCAUUACCUCAUCUACUC
Molecule: long non-coding RNA, 1199 nt
Filed under: Vulpes vulpes (red fox)
Lineage: Eukaryota; Metazoa; Chordata; Mammalia; Carnivora; Canidae
Description: lncRNA (ENSVVUG00000017052.1)
Source: RNAcentral